GAUGAACGCUAGCGGCAGGCCUAAUACAUGCAAGUCGAACGGGAUCUGAGGGUAGCUUGCUACCCGAUUUGAGAGUGGCGCACGGGUGCGUAACGCGUGAGCAACCUACCCAUAUCAGGGGGAUAGCCCGAAGAAAUUCGGAUUAACACCGCAUAAUAAUACGCUAACACAUGUUAAUGUAUUUAAAUAUUUAUAGGAUAUGGAUGGGCUCGCGUGACAUUAGCUAGUUGGUAAGGUAACGGCUUACCAAGGCGACGAUGUCUAGGGGCUCUGAGAGGAGAAUCCCCCACACUGGUACUGAGACACGGACCAGACUCCUACGGGAGGCAGCAGUAAGGAAUAUUGGUCAAUGGGCGCAAGCCUGAACCAGCCAUGCCGCGUGCGGGAUGACUGCCCUAUGGGUUGUAAACUGCUUUUGUUAGGGGAUAAACCUACUUAUGUAUAAGUAGCUGAAUGUACCUAAAGAAUAAGGAUCGGCUAACUCCGUGCCAGCCGCCGCGGUAA
Molecule: ribosomal RNA, 504 nt
Filed under: uncultured bacterium
Lineage: Bacteria
Description: partial 16S ribosomal RNA
Rfam family: Bacterial small subunit ribosomal RNA
Source: RNAcentral